ACGAACGCUGGCGGCAGGCCUAACACAUGCAAGUCGAACGCUGUAGCAAUACAGAGUGGCAGACGGGUGAGUAACACGUGGGAACAUACCCUUAGGUUCGGAAUAGCUCAGGGAAACUUGAGGUAAUACCGGAUAAGCCCUUCGGGGGAAAGAUUUAUCGCCAUUGGAAUGGCCCGCGUCUGAUUAGCUAGUUGGUGGGGUAAUGGCUCACCAAGGCGACGAUCAGUAGCUGGUCUGAGAGGAUGACCAGCCACACUGGGACUGAGACACGGCCCAGACUCCUACGGGAGGCAGCAGUGGGGAAUAUUGGACAAUGGGCGAAAGCCUGAUCCAGCCAUGCCGCGUGAGUGAAGAAGGCCUUAGGGUUGUAAAGCUCUUUCAGCGGGGAAGAUAAUGACGGUACCCGCAGAAGAAGCCCCGGCUAACUCCGUGCCAGCCGCCGCGGUAAUU
Molecule: ribosomal RNA, 450 nt
Filed under: uncultured bacterium
Lineage: Bacteria
Description: bacterial SSU rRNA
Rfam family: Bacterial small subunit ribosomal RNA
Source: RNAcentral